GCGCAGCAGUCGCGAAACUUCACACUGUGCGAAAGCACGAUGAGGGAAUCCCAAGUGCUUGCACGUAAGUGUAAGCUGUUUCUCUGUCUAAAACGCAGAGAGAGUAAGGGCUGGGUAAGACGGGUGCCAGCCUCCGCGGUAAUACCUGCAGCUCAAGUGGUGACCGUUAUUAUUGGGCCUAAAACGUCCGUAGCCGGUUUAAUAAAUGCCUGGGUAAAUUGUGUAGCUUAACUAUACGAAUUCCGGGUAGACUGUUAAACUUGAGACCGGGAGAAGUUAGAGGUACUCCUGGGGUAGAGGUGAAAUUCUGUAAUCCUAGGGGACCACCAGUGGCGAAGGCGUCUAACUAGAACGGGUCUGACGGUGAGGGACGAAGCCCUGGGGCGCAAACGGGAUUAGAUA
This 402-nucleotide ribosomal RNA is filed under the name uncultured microorganism. RNAcentral describes it as "bacterial SSU rRNA". It matches the Rfam family "Archaeal small subunit ribosomal RNA", at positions 330 to 735 of the family's 1478-position model. The record is from RNAcentral.